CCUGUGUCUUUCACUGAGUUACCAACUCAUUGAGGGCUGAGCUUUUGCUGUUGCAUCACGCUGUGCCCAGGAUAAUAUCACCAUGCCCCCCAUUUAAUACUCACAGCAACUCCAUAAAUGGAGACAACUCUGUGAGGUACUUGUAUGAUGGCCAUUUGACAGGUUUCCCAAAGUCAGGAUGCUGGUCCAUGCUAGAGACCAAUGUGGCUUUUAUUGUGGUGGUUAAGGGGGUGGACUUUGGAUUUGGACAGAUAUGAAUUUAGUUCCUGGUGCUGCCACUGGUCGAAAACAUGGUAUCAUCUGUCUGGAUCUCAGUUUCCUCACCAGUAAAAUGAUCCAGUUGGAUGAGGAGAUCACAGUCAUCACCUUAAAUACCACAUCCUACAAUCAUAGAUUUUGUUCUUCAAGGGCAUAGUGCAGAAAAAGAGGUGAGAUUCCAGAAACUUUAACCCAUUCUUGACACUUAGGCAAAAAUGCCCAAUAGGGUAUCUCAUCUGUCACUAAAUUGUCUUCUCAAAGUCAGCUCAAAGACAGAUGGCCUGUUGGUGCUACUGUUGAUGCCACCACUUCUGGGACCAGGGGACCAAGUACAGCCUUGUAGGUCAUUCCUCACCCAUUGGGCACCAGGCAGUGCAUAAGCCAAUGGUGUAGUGAAGAAAGUGUAUUUCAUCUCCGCUGGCCUAAUGAUGGAGUGAGUGGCUGGAGGAGCAGCAAUUAAGGAUUUUCUGCCUUUUUCUGGAAAGAAGCUAAGAUAGAUGUGCUUGUUUGUUGAGAGUAAUGAGCAGGAACUCUUACACAUUUUAAGGGAACCCAGAGAAGUUUAGUCUGGAGUUGGGAGAGCAAGGGGAGGCACAGGGCUGCCUCCUGAGCGUCAUUCGUCACAAUGGCCCAUGGCACUCUGAGUUCACUGAAGAUGUCAUCCACAUUCUGUCCAAGGGAAAGGGCUGUGAAAUGUAAGGGGAUUGACUCUGCACUGCUUCAAAGAAUGAGUGAGGACCAGUGAGUAGAAGUUACAGUGAAGGCUAUUUUCAAUUUACUGUAGGAGACAGAAUAGCAGAGGGGCUGAGUGCAUCAGCUUCGGAGUCAACAGCUGCACGAUCUAAGGCAUGUAACUUGUCUUUCUGAACCUCAGUUUUCACAUCUAUAGAGUGAGAAUAAAGUAGAGUGUUUAGCAUUUGCCUAGGCCAUAUUAUCUUUGGUUUCAUUAGCAUUAGAAAGAGCAUUCUGACAGCAGUUAGAGGUCAGCCUCUGAGACUAGAAGGAUUUGGGUAAAUGACCAUCUGACAAGGAAAAAAUAUCUCAGAAUGGAGACAGGCAUCUGAGAAAUUUGAAUAAAACACUAGACGCCUCCGUCAGAGUUGGGGGUCUGUGCGCCUGUGUUUCCACUCCCCUAAGUGAUUCUGGUGAACAUCCAGGUUUGUGAAUCACAGCCAUAGAUCGCACUCUCUUCUGAGGGCAUGUUUCCUUUCUGGAAUGCUU
RNAcentral lists this long non-coding RNA (1479 nucleotides) under Pan troglodytes (chimpanzee). RNAcentral describes it as "long non-coding RNA NONPTRT006829". The record is from RNAcentral. Lineage: Eukaryota; Metazoa; Chordata; Mammalia; Primates; Hominidae.